Molecule: ribosomal RNA, 152 nt
Filed under: Chloropicon mariensis
Lineage: Eukaryota; Viridiplantae; Chlorophyta; Chloropicophyceae; Chloropicales; Chloropicaceae
Description: 5.8S ribosomal RNA
Rfam family: 5.8S ribosomal RNA
About the family: 5.8S ribosomal RNA (5.8S rRNA) is a component of the large subunit of the eukaryotic ribosome. It is transcribed by RNA polymerase I as part of the 45S precursor that also contains 18S and 28S rRNA.
Source: RNAcentral
ACUCUCGGCAACGGAUAUCUCGGCUCUCGCCACGAUGAAGAAUGUAGCGAAAUGCGAUACUUAGUGUGAAUUGCAGAAUCCCGUGAAUCAUCAAGUCUUUGAACGCAAGUUGCGCCCGAGGCCUCGGCCAAGGGCACGUCUGCUUGGGCGUC